This is a long non-coding RNA of Poecile atricapillus (Black-capped chickadee), 2091 nucleotides long. RefSeq lists it as uncharacterized. Lineage: Eukaryota; Metazoa; Chordata; Aves; Passeriformes; Paridae. The transcript has 8 exons. The record is from RefSeq and is a predicted model, not a curated record.
AGGAACUGGGGCUUUUCAACAUGUUUGUAACAGCAAAGCAACUGCUCCAGGAGUGUCACUGUUUUGAAGCUGCCGGGUGAUUCUGUCCCUCUGAGGCAUGACAAGGACUCCGCUGACGGGUGCAGUGAAAUAAAUGCUUUGUGCCAUCUACUGGUGCCGCUGGGAGCUGCGGGUCAGCCCGGGCCGGAGUUGUGACGGACUCAAGCGUGCAGUGUGGGAAAAGAAGGAAACUCGCUGUAAAUGCCCCAAACAAUCAUCUUUGCUUUUUUUUGUGACUAAUUGCUAUGCCUGGGAAAACAAACUGCAGUUCUGUUGUUCCUGGUUGAAGUCAAUGGGUGCUCUUAGUGCACACAAAAAAUGCAGCCCAGGGAAGCUUCCACCUGCCCAGUCCUCAAGGAAAUAUCAGAUGGGAAGAGGCCUCCUAAAUUCAGAGUGCCUGUUCCAGUGGGGGAUGUGUAUUUUUAAUUAUCUGCUGUCCUUAGUUGAAGAGAUUUGUCCCUGCACUAUAUAAGUGUACUUCUGCUCGCUGAAGAAAAACUGUGCACUUUAUGCUCAGAAGGAUCCAAGAGUAAAGAAAACUUGGAAAUUAAAAUGAAAGAAAAGAUUCCAGAGUUUUGAAGAUGCUUGUAAAUCAUCCCAGCAGGAAUAUUAAGCAUCAUAGUCUUAAGAGCAUUCUCUUGGCCAGAAUAUUCCCCUACAGCUCUGGGGAAGAGGAAAGUUGGGAAGGAAUGCUAAUGGAGAGACAAGAAGUGAAGAGCUGCAGUCUCCAGCAGCCUCAGCUGAGAGGCACAGAGAGCUCUGAGUGUGAAACUUUGCCGCAGAUCUGGAGAAAGAUGGAUCUGCUCUGUAUCCCUCACAGCUGGGGGAGGCACUCAGCCUUUGGACAUGGUGAGUGCUGUGGCUGCCAACAGCUCGCUGCUUCAGGAUGGAAUCAGCUCUGCACUUGGGCAGAGCCAGGGCUGGGGAAACACAGAUGGGAUGUCAUUAACAUUAAUGGACUGGCUAAGGAAGAGUUCUGCAUGCUGACAAGAUAAUGUACAGCUUUAAUAUAGCAAAUUUCUACAGCUGGUGGGGACUCUGGUGCCUUUCUUGUGGAACGUGCCCAGCUAUAACAUUUAUUUUCACUGUUUAAAAUCAGUCCUGAGGAAGAUGUGGGUGAGAUCCUGUUCCCUGUUUCCAUCAAAGCACCCACUUCUCUGACAAGGACCUGACCUCCCACCUCACUUUUUCAAAUGAUUGCUCAGACUCCUUCUGCUGAGCAGAAAAUAUUUAAACUGUUGUUCAAAAUGAACGCUUAUCAGGUGGUGUCUUUCCCCCUUCCCAGAGCAGAGCAUUAAUUAAAUUGGAGGACUCAAGGGCCUGUCUGGAAGGGAUUCUGGAUGGAGAGGAAGUGCAAACCCAGAGGACCAACAUGAAAUGCAUCCAGAUGUUCUUCUGAAAUGGAAGAGUUAAAAAUCCAAGCUCAAAAGGACAAAGAAAGGAAAAAAAGGAGAAAUCUUGACUCUGGAAAACAAGAAGCUGCUUAUCAGAGGAGAUGUGGAUGUGUGAUGCCAGGGUGGGGCAGUUUUCUCUUCAAUUCCUGUGCUUCCUCUGAGGUGGUUUGACUUUUGAAAUAUAGGAAAGAAAAGUGACUUGUUUGUUUCCUGCACUGGGAAAGAUGGAAUAGGAAGAGGGGGCAGAUUUUGCACCAUUAAUGUUGCAGGAGUAGAGGAAUUCCCUGUCUGUUGAUAUUCAAAACAGCAUGAAAUGGCUUUUUAACUUUUUACUGGGAAAACUAACAGGGAUAUCAAAGGACCAUAUUAAUUAGGAAAGAAGCAAGAAGCCUCAAUAUGAAUUUUGUGUUUGUUUGGUGUGAAGAGCAGCACUAUAUUGGUGGUGGCAGUGAAGAUGAGUUCUGGAGAUGCAGCAGUCAUCUGAUCUUCCCUCCCCUUCUGCAUCCACCAAUCCUCACCAAAAUGAGGAAAGAAGAAAGAAAGAAACAGAAAGAACUUCUGUUGUGGUCUGGAGUGUUUUCCUGAGAUUAUUUCUACUAUUUCAGCAAGCUCAGUAGAGUUACUGAAUGCUCAGAAAGACUUUUUGAUCUGGACUGGA